This is a long non-coding RNA of Gasterosteus aculeatus aculeatus (three-spined stickleback), 640 nucleotides long. The record is from Ensembl. Lineage: Eukaryota; Metazoa; Chordata; Actinopteri; Perciformes; Gasterosteidae.
GAAACUCUGAACAACAACAAAACACAGCGUGGAGGAGACGACUGCGAGCGAGACAUUUACAAACCAACUUAUGGAUCCAGCGCGUGGAAACAUUUUGGCUUUUGCAAACACGUCGGUCGCUGUUUGUAGAAUAUGUAGAAGCCAAAUAAAAAACCACGGAAACACGACGAAUCUUUCCGGCCAUCUACUAAGGCGCCGUGGGAUGAAACAACGCCGACAGUCAGGACCUCUAGCAGCGUCACCGCUGCAGCAGCAGCAGGAAAUGGCAGCCAAAUUCCUGGGAAAUGAAUGAAGAGGAAAUCUGCGAGUGGCAGCCUACCACGAGAUCGCUCUGAAAGGAGAGGGUGGAAAAGACAUGGCCCCUUUCUGCAACAUGGACCCGGGCCAGGGCUCACUAGAGCACCGAGAUGAAGAGUUACAGCACCUCUCAAACCCAACCGGCUGGAGUGAUAAAUACCCGGCUCUAAUGCACAUGCUUAAGAGUUUUUGACUGUAAAUAAAGUCAUGGGAGACAUGUUGUACUUACAUGGAGAAAAGCCUUGAGGAAAUGGCUUCCCCCCUUGAAAGCGACGAAUGGGUGUGUAUGUCUGCAGCCAAUCAGGAUGUAACUUCAUGAAGCCUGUUUUUUUAUCCCCGGUGG